UUAAGAUCUCAGCGUAGAGAAGCUCAUUCCAGGCGUCUGGCACACCAGGAAGGCACCAGUGGCUGCAGUCCUGAAACCUCAAUGGCGACCGCCUUUCCUCAUCUGAUAGAUUUUGUUUGCGGUAAAUUGAUGGGUGGCCAUCCUUCCGGUAAUCUGUUAUUCGAGUGAUGUUUAGGUAAGUGACUUGGGUUUUCAUCCCUCUCAAGAUUUUCUCCAAUACUAUCAUCUUUGGUGGAUAAUCUGG
RNAcentral lists this long non-coding RNA (244 nucleotides) under Vitis vinifera (wine grape). RNAcentral's name for it is "long non-coding RNA (VVIN_LNC002662)". The record is from RNAcentral. Lineage: Eukaryota; Viridiplantae; Streptophyta; Magnoliopsida; Vitales; Vitaceae.